Molecule: ribosomal RNA, 253 nt
Filed under: uncultured bacterium
Lineage: Bacteria
Description: partial 16S ribosomal RNA
Rfam family: Bacterial small subunit ribosomal RNA
Source: RNAcentral
UACGUAGGUGGCAAGCGUUGUCCGGAUUUACUGGGCGUAAAGAGCGCGCAGGCGGUCGUGCAAGUCGGGUGUGAAAGCCCUCAGCUCAACUGAGGAAGUGCGCCCGAAACUGCAGAGCUUGAGUGCCGGAGAGGGUGGCGGAAUUCCCCAAGUAGAGGUGAAAUUCGUAGAUAUGGGGAGGAACACCGGUGGCGAAGGCGGCCACCUGGACGGUAACUGACGCUGAGACGCGAAAGCGUGGGGAGCAAACAGG